GAUGAACGCUGGCGGCGUGCUUAACACAUGCAAGUCGAACGGUGAAGCAGGAGAUUGCUCUUGUGGAUCAGUGGCGAACGGGUGAGUAACACGUGAGCAACCUGCCCCUGACUCUGGGAUAAGCGCUGGAAACGGCGUCUAAUACUGGAUAUGUGAUGUGACCGCAUGGUCUGCAUCUGGAAAGAAUUUCGGUUGGGGAUGGGCUCGCGGCCUAUCAGCUUGUUGGUGAGGUAAUGGCUCACCAAGGCGUCGACGGGUAGCCGGCCUGAGAGGGUGACCGGCCACACUGGGACUGAGACACGGCCCAGACUCCUACGGGAGGCAGCAGUGGGGAAUAUUGCACAAUGGGCGGAAGCCUGAUGCAGCGACGCCGCGUGAGGGAUGACGGCCUUCGGGUUGUAAACCUCUUUUAGCAGGGAAGAAGCGAAAGUGACGGUACCUGCAGAAAAAGCACCGGCUAACUACGUGCCAGCAGCCGCAGUAA
Molecule: ribosomal RNA, 484 nt
Filed under: uncultured bacterium
Lineage: Bacteria
Description: partial 16S ribosomal RNA
Rfam family: Bacterial small subunit ribosomal RNA
Source: RNAcentral